Molecule: ribosomal RNA, 415 nt
Filed under: Kodamaea ohmeri
Lineage: Eukaryota; Fungi; Ascomycota; Pichiomycetes; Serinales; Debaryomycetaceae
Description: eukaryotic LSU rRNA
Rfam family: 5.8S ribosomal RNA (bases 126-277)
Source: RNAcentral
GGAAGUAAAAGUCGUAACAAGGUUUCCGUAGGUGAACCUGCGGAAGGAUCAUUAAAAAAUAAAAAUUACAUUCUGUUUUAAUUUAACAAAACCUUAUAAAUAAAUCUAAUACCAAAAUUUCUUAAAACUUUCAACAACGGAUCUCUUGGUUCUCGCAUCGAUGAAGAACGCAGCGAAAUGCGAUACGUAAUACGAAUCGCAGCUCUCGGAAUCAUCGAAUCUUUGAACGCACAUUGCACCAAGGGGUAUUCCCCUUGGUAUGCCUGUUUGAGCGAAAGAUUCUUCUAAUCUUUUGGAUUGUUUUGUAUUGAUAAAAGUUAUUGAAAAUAUUAUACAAUAUUAUAUUUUCCUCUACUUUUUUCCUCAAAUCAGGUAGGACUACCCGCUGAACUUAAGCAUAUCAAUAAGCGGAGGA